Molecule: non-coding RNA, 74 nt
Organism: Pteropus alecto (black flying fox)
Lineage: Eukaryota; Metazoa; Chordata; Mammalia; Chiroptera; Pteropodidae
Source: Rfam
GGCUCCAUAGUGUAGUGGUUAGCACAUCUGCUUUACACACAGAAGGUCCUGGGUUUGCACCCCAGGUGGAACCA